RNAcentral lists this long non-coding RNA (726 nucleotides) under Phoenix dactylifera (date palm). RNAcentral's name for it is "long non-coding RNA (PDAC_LNC018925)". The record is from RNAcentral. Lineage: Eukaryota; Viridiplantae; Streptophyta; Magnoliopsida; Arecales; Arecaceae.
AGGAUAUAGAUAGAUUGAAAAUCACAUGGGAUGAAGUACUAAGAAAGUACGGCCUUAAACAAAAUGGAAUGUAGGAAAAGGAUUCAUGCAGCCGACCAAAUUAGUUUAUGACUAAGGCUUAGUUGAGUUGAGUAGUUUAUAAAUGGUCUGCAUUCAUGGAUCUUCCAAAUUACUUGGGCAUCUCUUUUCAAUUUUUCCCAUAUACUAGUGAAUCCAUGGUUGCACUGGAUGCUUUAUAUGAAUGUCCUAGUUCACAGAAGGCUGAGUGACUUAAGAGUCUUGCUAAUGCAAACUUUGUAAUUUGCCUUUGUAGGUUUUUCCUUAUGUAAAUUUCAAAAGAUCCUACUGAAUAAUUGUUUCUGUUUUAUGUUCUGGAUGGAUGUAUAUGUCUCUCUAGUCCUUGUUGUCUUAUUGUUGGCUUAUUGACAUCUUGGACCCUUUGCAUCUUUGACAUGCUUUCGAAUUGAGAACUUUGAAUGCAUCAGAAACUGACAAAAUUAUACAGAUCAGAAUUAUAGAUAUAUAGAAUUAUAGUUUUGUAUAUUAAAAAAAUGCGAUUGUGAUGCUGCUUUACAUAUCUAUGUUCCUGUAUAAGAUUAAUGGGUUACAUCAUGUCAUUCUUCCUUGCACAUUGGUUAACUCAACAGUUUUUUACUUACGGUCCAAAUUUUCUCAAACAUUAUCAAGUAUAUCCUUUUUAAGGAAAUAAUGAAAUUUAACUUGGGU